RNAcentral lists this transfer RNA (72 nucleotides) under Sphaerodactylus townsendi. RNAcentral's name for it is "tRNA-Ala". It matches the Rfam family "tRNA". From Rfam's summary of the family: Transfer RNA (tRNA) molecules are approximately 80 nucleotides in length. Their secondary structure includes four short double-helical elements and three loops (D, anti-codon, and T loops). Further hydrogen bonds mediate the characteristic L-shaped molecular structure. tRNAs have two regions of fundamental functional importance: the anti-codon, which is responsible for specific mRNA codon recognition, and the 3' end, to which the tRNAs corresponding amino acid is attached (by aminoacyl-tRNA synthetases). tRNAs cope with the degeneracy of the genetic code in two manners: having more than one tRNA (with a specific anti-codon) for a particular amino acid; and 'wobble' base-pairing, i.e. permitting non-standard base-pairing at the 3rd anti-codon position. Lineage: Eukaryota; Metazoa; Chordata; Lepidosauria; Squamata; Sphaerodactylidae. The record is from RNAcentral.
GGGGCUAUGGCUCAAUGGCUGAGCAUCUGCUUGGCAUCUAAAAGUUCCUAGGUUCAAUCCCCAGCAUCUCCA